CAGAGGGGGCAAGCGUUGUUCGGAAUUACUGGGCGUAAAGGGCGCGUAGGCGGCCUGCUAAGUCGAACGUGAAAUCCCUGGGCUCAACCCAGGAACUGCGUCCGAUACCGGUUGGCUUGAAUCCGGGAGAGGGAUGCGGAAUUCCAGGUGUAGCGGUGAAAUGCGUAGAUAUCUGGAGGAACACCGGUGGCGAAGGCGGCAUCCUGGACCGGCAUUGACGCUGAGGCGCGAAAGCCAGGGGAGCAAACGGGAUUAGAUACCCCGGUAGUCCUGGCCCUAAACGAUGAAUGCUUGGUGUGGCGGGUAUCGAUCCCUGCCGUGCCGAAGCUAACGCAUUAAGCAUUCCGCCUGGGGAGUACGGUCGCAAGGCUG
This 372-nucleotide ribosomal RNA is filed under the name uncultured organism. Its description in RNAcentral is "bacterial SSU rRNA". It matches the Rfam family "Bacterial small subunit ribosomal RNA", at positions 526 to 896 of the family's 1533-position model. The record is from RNAcentral.